RNAcentral lists this ribosomal RNA (403 nucleotides) under uncultured bacterium. Its description in RNAcentral is "bacterial SSU rRNA". It matches the Rfam family "Bacterial small subunit ribosomal RNA", at positions 28 to 424 of the family's 1533-position model. The record is from RNAcentral.
GAUGAACGCUAGCGGCAGGCUUAAUACAUGCAAGUCGAGGGGCAGCAGGGGUGUAGCAAUAUACUCGCUGGCGACCGGCAAACGGGUGCGGAACACGUACGCAAUCUACCCAAAACUGAUGAAUAGCCCUCCGAAAGGAGGAUUAAUACAUCGUAACCUAUUAGAGUGGCAUCACUUUAUUAGUAUAGCUCCGGCGGUUUUGGAUGAGCGUGCGGCUGAUUAGAUAGUUGGCAGGGUAACGGCCUACCAAGUCUACGAUCAGUAACUGGUGUGAGAGCACGACCAGUCACACGGGCACUGAGACACGGGCCCGACUCCUACGGGAGGCAGCAGUAAGGAAUAUUGGUCAAUGGACGCAAGUCUGAACCAGCCAUGCCGCGUGAGUGAUGAAGGCCUUAGGGUU